Molecule: ribosomal RNA, 289 nt
Filed under: uncultured bacterium
Lineage: Bacteria
Description: partial 16S ribosomal RNA
Rfam family: Bacterial small subunit ribosomal RNA
Source: RNAcentral
GACGAACGCUGGCGGCGUGCUUAACACACGCAAGUCGAGCGGUAAGGCCCGUUUCGGGGGUACGACGAGCGGCGAACGGGUGAGUAACACGUGGGUGACCUGCCCUCAGCUCUGGGAUAAGCCUGGGAAACCGGGUCUAAUACUGGAUAUGACUCCAUGACGCAUGUUGUGGGGUGGAAAGCCUUGUGCGGCUGAGGAUGGGCCCGCGGCCUAUCAGCUUGUUGGNGGGGUGAGGCCUACCAAGGCGACGACGGGUAGCCGGCCUGAGAGGGCGACCGGCCACACUGGG